RNAcentral lists this long non-coding RNA (244 nucleotides) under Setaria italica (foxtail millet). RNAcentral's name for it is "long non-coding RNA (SITA_LNC001352)". Lineage: Eukaryota; Viridiplantae; Streptophyta; Magnoliopsida; Poales; Poaceae. The record is from RNAcentral.
UUGAUAUGAGUUUGCCCCAUGGGUCAUAGAGGUAGGCCGCAGGUGGUGACAACCCUGUUAGUCCUUUGUAAUCCUUCACGUUCCGGUAUGCUGUAGGAGUUCGUAAAUUAGUAGUAACUUUGCUAGGCGAAACCAGUACGGGUGUAUAGGCCUGAGUUCUAUACAAUGUGUAUGUAUGUUAUGCUUGUAUGAUUAGUGCAUUAUAAAGGAAGUACAUAUGAACCUAGAGCUAACUCUUAGUCCU